RNAcentral lists this ribosomal RNA (362 nucleotides) under uncultured bacterium. RNAcentral's name for it is "bacterial SSU rRNA". It matches the Rfam family "Bacterial small subunit ribosomal RNA", at positions 551 to 916 of the family's 1533-position model. The record is from RNAcentral.
UUACUGGGCGUAAGCGUGCGCAGGCGGUUUUGUAAGACAGAGGUGAAAUCCCCGGGCUCAACCUGGGAACUGCCUUUGUGACUGCAAGGCUGGAGUGCGGCAGAGGGGGAUGGAAUUCCGCGUGUAGCAGUGAAAUGCGUAGAUAUGCGGAGGAACACCGAUGGCGAAGGCAAUCCCCUGGGCCUGCACUGACGCUCAUGCACGAAAGCGUGGGGAGCAAACAGGAUUAGAUACCCUGGUAGUCCACGCCCUAAACGAUGUCAACUGGUUGUUGGGUCUUCACUGACUCAGUAACGAAGCUAACGCGUGAAGUUGACCGCCUGGGGAGUACGGCCGCAAGGUUGAAACUCAUGGAAUUACGG